GUCGGUGUGGCGCAGUGGUUUAGCGUUCUUGCUUUGGGUCUACAAAGACUACUUGCAAGAGGCCCUCGGUUUGACCCCGAGCUCCGACC
This is a non-coding RNA of Truncatella angustata, 89 nucleotides long. The record is from the annotation of a RefSeq genome assembly. Lineage: Eukaryota; Fungi; Ascomycota; Sordariomycetes; Amphisphaeriales; Sporocadaceae.